AUGAGGAUUCCUCCUCCUGCCCUGGGGACUCCUUGUCCCUCUCUGACAGCUCAGAGGCAGCAGCUGGGCCAUCACUGCCCUGGGAGGAGUGUCCAGAGGGGUGUCCAGAGUGUCCAGAGUGUCCAGAGGAGUGUCCAGAGGGGUGUCCAGAGUGUCCAGAGUGUCCAGAGGAGUGUUCAGAGUGUCCAGAGGGGUGUCCAGAGGGGUGCCCAGACUGUCCAGAGGAGUGUCCAGAGUGUUCAGGGUGUCCAGAGGAGUGUCCAGAGUGUUCAGUGUGUCCAGAGUGUCCAGAGGGGUGUCCAGAGUGUCCAGAGUGUCCAGAGGGGUGUCCAGAGUGUCCAGAGNGUCCAGAGGGGUGUCCAGAGGGGUGUCCAUCCUUCCCAGCCGUGCUCCAGGGCUGCUCCAGCCCCUUUCCCAGCCCCUCCUCUGGAGCUGCCUGUGCUGGCUGUCCCCUGCUCCGGGGCCCUGGUGCCUCCUGCUCGGUGUCCCUGUCCCCCCUGGCCAGCGGCUCCCCAGACAGGGAGCUCGGGGAAGCGGCUCCGGGAUCCGCGUGUCCCACGGACUGGGAGUGCUGGGAUGGACUGGGAAGGGCUGGGCCCCUCAGGGCUGCGCUCCCAGCGAUGUGGGAAGGCUCUGAUGGCUCCAGGGAUGCUCCAGAAACAUCCGGGAUUCCUCUGGAAAGGGCAAGAAAAGUGAAUUUCUGAUCAUUUCUCUGAUUUCAACAUCUCUGCCUU
This 734-nucleotide long non-coding RNA is filed under the name Parus major (Great Tit). RNAcentral's name for it is "lncRNA (ENSPMJG00000006184.1)". The record is from RNAcentral. Lineage: Eukaryota; Metazoa; Chordata; Aves; Passeriformes; Paridae.